This 68-nucleotide transfer RNA is filed under the name Ictidomys tridecemlineatus (thirteen-lined ground squirrel). RNAcentral's name for it is "Spermophilus tridecemlineatus (thirteen-lined ground squirrel) tRNA". It matches the Rfam family "tRNA". Rfam says of the family: Transfer RNA (tRNA) molecules are approximately 80 nucleotides in length. Their secondary structure includes four short double-helical elements and three loops (D, anti-codon, and T loops). Lineage: Eukaryota; Metazoa; Chordata; Mammalia; Rodentia; Sciuridae. The record is from Rfam by way of RNAcentral.
GGGGUUGUGGCUCAGUGGUAAAGCACUCACCUGGCAUGCGUGUGGCCUGGGUUCGAUCCUCAGCACCA